RNAcentral lists this ribosomal RNA (528 nucleotides) under uncultured bacterium. Its description in RNAcentral is "bacterial SSU rRNA". It matches the Rfam family "Bacterial small subunit ribosomal RNA", at positions 777 to 1304 of the family's 1533-position model. The record is from RNAcentral.
AAUAGAUACCCAGGUAGUCCACGCCGUAAACGAUGAGUGCUAAGUGUUAGAGGGUUUCCGCCCUUUAGUGCUGCAGCUAACGCAUUAAGCACUCCGCCUGGGGAGUACGGUCGCAAGACUGAAACUCAAAGGAAUUGACGGGGGCCCGCACAAGCGGUGGAGCAUGUGGUUUAAUUCGAAGCAACGCGAAGAACCUUACCAGGUCUUGACAUCCCACUGACCGGUAUAGAGAUAUACCUUUCCCUUCGGGGACAGUGGUGACAGGUGGUGCAUGGUUGUCGUCAGCUCGUGUCGUGAGAUGUUGGGUUAAGUCCCGCAACGAGCGCAACCCUUGAUCUUAGUUGCCAGCAUUUAGUUGGGCACUCUAAGGUGACUGCCGGUGACAAACCGGAGGAAGGUGGGGAUGACGUCAAAUCAUCAUGCCCCUUAUGACCUGGGCUACACACGUGCUACAAUGGAUGGUACAAAGGGCUGCAAGACUGCGAAGUCAAGCCAAUCCAUAAAACCAUUCUCAGUUCGGAUUGCAGG